This is a long non-coding RNA of Numida meleagris (helmeted guineafowl), 3377 nucleotides long. RefSeq lists it as uncharacterized. The record is from RefSeq and is a predicted model, not a curated record. NCBI's taxonomy places the organism in Eukaryota, Metazoa, Chordata, Aves, Galliformes, Numididae. The transcript has 3 exons.
CCAUCCCCGAAGGCGUCGCGCAGGGCGGGGCACUGUGGCGCCACCUGCCGGCGGUGCGCGGAGCAGUUUGCGGUGAAAGCGCUGUGCGGGCGCGCAGAGAGGCGUGCCUGUGCUCAGGCGGAGCGCUUCAUUUGAAAAUUAAAAGCUGCGGAGGCUUCUGCUGCUGCUCCUGGUAGGCCCUGGGGAGUAGCUGCCCUGAAGAAGGACUUUCUGAGGCUCGCUCCAGCCACAGGCACAGCCUCGCCCAUGUGCGUGGCCCCUGGGGCCUGGUCUGGCCCGGAGAGAGACCCUCUGCGGGGUAAGUCAGGGUGACAGAACAACUGUGGAUCACUUCAGCUCAGCUUUCAGUGGAAUAACUUUUCUGAGGUUUAUCUUCAACUUUACAAAGCUGAGGCCAAGAGCAGGAGAGCAGUGAGCCCUUGUGCUUUCACAGCCCUUGGAGACCUCAGUGCUAAGGCAGAGCCUGUACGCCUUCAUGCACGACCUGUGCUUUAUGGCUGCUACACUUCUCUCAGUUCCCCUGCACUGUAAUCAAGGACUGAUGUUAAACCAAAGCCUCCUGGCUCCAGGAAGUUCAACAGGAAGGGCUUCAGGGCAAAAGAAGGCAGAACUGCCACAAGAAAACUCCUCUGGAAAACAGAGAGCGCUGCAAGCUUGGCAGCCACAGCAAGAAACAGCCCUGGUUAAGUGAGGGAGAGAGGGUGCUGGAGGUUUCGUAUUUCUUUAUUAAGUAUGGAGAGGAUUUGUUUUACGUCCAGCUUCCACUGCAUUUACAUGGAACGUCUGACAGCUCUGGGGAAUCGAUGGGAGCUAAAGCACCAAUAAAAGUGCAAACCAACUUCUGAGAUGAAUACAAGCUGAGUUAUCUUUUGGAGCCAGCUUUAUUUGUAGUAACAAAAAGGAUGUUAUGAAAUUAGAUUUACUGGUUAAAAAUAUUUUAAGAAAAUAUAAAAUGCACCAGAAAGCUAAGGGAACUAAAACCUCAGCAUCUUUUAGCUGGGCCUAUAUAACAGUUCCCACCAUGGUAACAGAGAAUCUAUUUUAAUGCAUAGAAGAAAAUGAAUAACAAUGAGAAUGCUGUAAGAAUAUGAACAAAAAAAAAAAAAAAAAAGCAAUUAGGGAAUAAGGAAUUAGAAGAAAAAGCACGUAGAAAUGAGCAACAAAGGACAAAGCAUUAUACCCUCAGAUUUAUAUUAAUUACACAGAUAGACAGAAAUCCAGCAGUGAGGGAAACGGAUUGGAAGCUCACUUUCUAUGUUUCAGUAAUCAAUAAAUAAUAGAGCAUUAAGUCACAACAGAUGUGCACCAAUACAGUUCUUAAGGAGUUGGGCUCCUCCAGGCAACUGAGACUUGCACCGGUCAUGGCCAAGCACAGUCCUGGCCCUGUUUUGUGCAAGCUGAACAAAAAUGGCUUUUUUAAAAUGUGGCUGCAGAUCUCUUCUUUCCCCAAACCUAAACAACAAAAGUAACAAACUUUUGUUGGUUGUUAAAACAACAACAAAAAAAUGCUCAUACAAUGUUCUUGGUUCUUUUGUACAUCUCUAUGGUAAUAUUUUUUACUGCUUUUCAACCUUCUCUACCCUUAGAAACUCAGUUUCCCUUCCAGAAAAGCAUAGGCAAUUCUAGCAGAUUCUUCAAGUGAGCUAUUGAUCAAGCUCUGUUGUAUUUUUUUCUUUCUGAAAAUGUCUGGAUAAACUUAUGGAAAAGAAACCCACCAGCAGUUAGGAAAGAUAUAUUUAUUUUUAAAAUGUUAUUAUGCAUAUAAUAGAUAGAACUUCCCUCUCAGGAAGUCUCCGAGGGGGAAAUAGCCAGAAGGUGAGAAGUAUCCUUUAUGUUUGCCCUGUUCUUACAUUCUCUCCUAGGCAUCUGCUGGUAAACAUUGGUGGAGACACGACAGUGACCCAGAUGGACCUCAGGUGUACCUGAAAACAAGGAACAAGCAGUGUGCUUUGUCCCUGUAUGUUUGAAGGACCUCGGUCUCCUGAGCAAGGACUUGUACAGAUUUCAGGAAUAUUUGCAAGUGUGUACAGUCGUAUUUCCACUAGGUUUUACAGGGGACUGUAGGUUGAUUCUGCUGUUUGUUGUUUGCUUUUGUUGUAGUUUUCCCCCAGAAAUGUAUCAGUCAGGGCUCUCUGUUUCCUUCCAUAGUCUGAACCAUCAGUGGGUACUGAUCUACACUAGUUAUUCAAAAGUAUCAGAUUCUGAACACGCUACUGUGUCUCCCUUGUAAAAUUACUUCCUAAAUGAAAAACAGACCCAGAUUUAGCCUGGAAGUAUCUUCCCAGGCAGCCACAAUCUGAAGAAUACUUAUCAGAUUCUUCUUGUCCUAAUUUUAUUUACUAUAUUUAUGUAUCUUAGGUAGGUAAAUACACCUACCUACGAGCUACUUUUUUGCCUUCACCUCACACCAUAACAUUUGAGUUCUUGACACCAGCCCAGUGAAGAUGGAAAAUCUCAUUUUACAGACUGGAGUCUGAAAGAGCAAGACCAAGACACUGGAGUCAGAGGCCUUAAGCAGGGAUUAGGCAGGGAUUGUGCACCUGGGAUAUGGCAACCCUGGAUACAUGUACAGACUGGGGGACAAGAAGGUGGAGAACAGCUCUGCAGAAAGGGAAUAGGGGGAUCUGGCUGACAUCAAGUUGAAUGUGAGUCAGCAGUGUGCUCUGGCAGGCAAAAGGGCCAACUGUGCCCUGGGGUGCAUCAGGCACAGCACAGGCACAGGGGCACACAAGUGCAGUGUGCAGGUUUGGGUGCCACAACAUAAAGAGGACGCAAAACUAUUAGAGAGUGCCCAAAAGAGGGCUGUAAAGAUGGUGAAGGGUCUGGAGAGCAAGGGGUAUGAGGAGUAGCUGAGGCCCCCUGGUUUGCUCAGCCCAGAGUAGAGGAGGCUGAUGGGAGGCCUCAUGGCGGCUGCAGGGACCUCACAGAUCAAGGUAAUUCAGCUUUGGCUGACUGCUACUGUCGCUGGGUAACUGCAGGCAUCUACACUAUUCUUAGCACUUCAGCAAUUCUGUUCAAGGUCAAUCCAGUGCAUUUGCAUUGCACACAGUGUAGUGGGGGCAUAUGCUUCAAAAGUGGGUCAUAGCAAGAUGAUGAAAGCUAAAUCAAACCACAGUUAUGCUUAUAUCUAAUCUGUUGAGCUAAGACUCUCAGUGCACUUUGAAUAUUUUAGCUCUAAUAGGCAUUCAAGUAUAAUAGCGAAGACUAAUACAAAAAGAUUUGUGCAGGUGUUUCUGUUUGAGCAGAGGGUUGGACUAGAUGACCUCCAGAGGUUCCUUCCAACCUCAGUCAUUCUGUGGUUCCAUGCUCUGUGUAGUCCCGGAGCAGCUAUCCUUAGGGAAAACUUUAAGAAAUCAUUAAAUCAAGCUAUUAACAAA